AUUGAACGCUGGCGGCAGGCCUAACACAUGCAAGUCGAACGGUAACAGGAAGAAGCUUGCUUCUUUGCUGACGAGUGGCGGACGGGUGAGUAAUGUCUGGGAAACUGCCUGAUGGAGGGGGAUAACUACUGGAAACGGUAGCUAAUACCGCAUAACGUCGCAAGACCAAAGAGGGGGACCUUCGGGCCUCUUGCCAUCGGAUGUGCCCAGAUGGGAUUAGCUAGUAGGUGGGGUAACGGCUCACCUAGGCGACGAUCCCUAGCUGGUCUGAGAGGAUGACCAGCCACACUGGAACUGAGACACGGUCCAGACUCCUACGGGAGGCAGCAGUGGGGAAUAUUGCACGAUGGGCGCAAGCCUGAUGCAGCCCUGCCGCGUGUAUGAAGAAGGCCUUCGGGUUGUAAAGUACUUUCAGCGGGGAGGAAGGGAGUAAAGUUAAUACCUUUGCUCAUUGACGUUACCCGCAGAAGAAGCACCGGCUAACUCCGUG
Molecule: ribosomal RNA, 490 nt
Filed under: uncultured bacterium
Lineage: Bacteria
Description: partial 16S ribosomal RNA
Rfam family: Bacterial small subunit ribosomal RNA
Source: RNAcentral